GGCUCAGGACGAACGCGGGCGGCGUGCUUAACACAUGCAAGUCGAACGGUGAAGCCCUUCGGGGUGGAUCAGUGGCGAACGGGUGAGUAACACGUGGGCAAUCUGCCCUGCACUCUGGGACAACACCGGGAAACCGGUGCUAAUACCGGAUACGACACGUCCCCGCAUGGGGGUGUGUGGAAAGCUCCGGCGGUGCAGGAUGAGCCCGCGGCCUAUCAGCUUGUUGGUGGGGUGACGGCCUACCAAGGCGACGACGGGUAGCCGGCCUGAGAGGGCGACCGGCCACACUGGGACUGAGACACGGCCCAGACUCCUACGGGAGGCAGCAGUGGGGAAUAUUGCACAAUGGGCGCAAGCCUGAUGCAGCGACGCCGCGUGAGGGAUGACGGCCUUCGGGUUGUAAACCUCUUUCAGCAGGGAAGAAGCGCAAGUGACGGUACCUGCAGAAGAAGCACCGGCUAACUACGUGCCAGCAGCCGCGGUAAUACGUAGGGUGCGAGCGUUGUCCGGAAUUAUUGGGCGUAAAGAGCUCGUAGGCGGCCUGUCGCGUCGGAUGUGAAAGCCCGGGGCUUAACCCCGGGUCUGCAUUCGAUACGGGCAGGCUAGAGUUCGGUAGGGGAGAUCGGAAUUCCUGGUGUAGCGGUGAAAUGCGCAGAUAUCAGGAGGAACACCGGUGGCGAAGGCGGAUCUCUGGGCCGAUACUGACGCUGAGGAGCGAAAGCGUGGGGAGCGAACAGGAUUAGAUACCCUGGUAGUCCACGCCGUAAACGUUGGGAACUAGGUGUGGGCGACAUUCCACGUCGUCCGUGCCGCAGCUAACGCAUUAAGUUCCCCGCCUGGGGAGUACG
Molecule: ribosomal RNA, 848 nt
Filed under: uncultured bacterium
Lineage: Bacteria
Description: bacterial SSU rRNA
Rfam family: Bacterial small subunit ribosomal RNA
Source: RNAcentral